UAUGCUUAGCCCUAAACAUUGACAGCAACAUACACCUGUUGUCCGCCUGGGAACUACGAGCAUCAGCUUGAAACCCAAAGGACUUGGCGGUGCUUUAGAUCCACCUAGAGGAGCCUGUUCUAGAACCGAUAACCCCCGUUCAACCUCACCCUUCUUUGUUUCCCCCGCCUAUAUACCGCCGUCGUCAGCUUACCCUGUGAAGGACUUAUAGUAAGCAAAAUUGGUACAACCCUAAACGCCAGGUCGAGGUGUAGCGUAUGGAAGGGGAAGAAAUGGGCUACAUUCUCUAACACAGAGAAAACGAAUGAUGUACUGAAAUACACGUCUGAAGGAGGAUUUAGCAGUAAGCAGGAAGUAGAGUGUCCCGCUGAAAUUGGCCCUGAAGCGCGCACACACCGCCCGUCACUCUCCCCAAACUAAUUGAAUUCAAUUAAAUAAAACCCCAUCGCAGUAAAGGGGAGGCAAGUCGUAACAUGGUAAGUGUACUGGAAAGGUGCAA
This 499-nucleotide ribosomal RNA is filed under the name Argyrosomus inodorus (mild meagre). RNAcentral describes it as "partial 12S ribosomal RNA". It matches the Rfam family "Bacterial small subunit ribosomal RNA", at positions 791 to 1517 of the family's 1533-position model. The record is from RNAcentral. Lineage: Eukaryota; Metazoa; Chordata; Actinopteri; Sciaenidae.